RNAcentral lists this long non-coding RNA (454 nucleotides) under Sarcophilus harrisii (Tasmanian devil). Its description in RNAcentral is "lncRNA (ENSSHAG00000031736.1)". The record is from RNAcentral. Lineage: Eukaryota; Metazoa; Chordata; Mammalia; Dasyuromorphia; Dasyuridae.
UUUUUUUUUAAUUGAAGGACUAUUUAAUAACAUAGUCAUUAAGCAAUGAACAAAACUUUUCUGUAAUAUAUGGGAUUUUAACUGGUACUUGAAAGAAGCCAAGAGGUAGAGAUGAAGGGGGAGAGAAUCUCCAACAGAUUGAUUUAAUCUUACAACAAAUCAUGGCAGACAAGGAAACUAGAUUGUGAAGGAGAUAAUAAAGGAUUUGGACUUUAACACCUGGCUACUCUUCUGGAAAUUACUCUGCUGAAAAGAAGGCUGCUCAGAGAUCUCCAGAAAACCCAACAAGAUCGUUACAUUUUGGUGCCGGAACAUGGAACCAAGGACCUACAUCUGUGACCCAGAAUUAGGAUGAAGAAGAAAUCAGAUGGGUGCCUAUGAGCACCUGGAGAGAGAUAGAAAAAGAGAAAAACCUCAAAACAAAGAAGACCUAAGAAACAUCUGACACUGAAAG